GACGAACGCUGGCGGCGUGCCUAAUACAUGCAAGUAGAACGCUGAAGCUUGGUGCUUGCACCGAGCGGAUGAGUUGCGAACGGGUGAGUAACGCGUAGGUAACCUGCCUGGUAGCGGGGGAUAACUAUUGGAAACGAUAGCUAAUACCGCAUAAUAGCAGUUGUUGCAUGACAACUGUUUAAAAGGUGCAAUUGCAUCACUACCAGAUGGACCUGCGUUGUAUUAGCUAGUUGGUGGGGUAACGGCUCACCAAGGCGACGAUACAUAGCCGACCUGAGAGGGUGAUCGGCCACACUGGGACUGAGACACGGCCCAGACUCCUACGGGAGGCAGCAGUAGGGAAUCUUCGGCAAUGGACGGAAGUCUGACCGAGCAACGCCGCGUGAGUGAAGAAGGUUUUCGGAUCGUAAAGCUCUGUUGUAAGAGAAGAACGAGUGUGAGAAGUGGAAAAGUUCAC
RNAcentral lists this ribosomal RNA (457 nucleotides) under Streptococcus sp. oral taxon E98. RNAcentral's name for it is "bacterial SSU rRNA". It matches the Rfam family "Bacterial small subunit ribosomal RNA", at positions 28 to 467 of the family's 1533-position model. The record is from RNAcentral. Lineage: Bacteria; Bacillati; Bacillota; Bacilli; Lactobacillales; Streptococcaceae.